Molecule: unclassified non-coding RNA, 349 nt
Filed under: soil metagenome
Description: partial contains 5.8S ribosomal RNA, internal transcribed spacer 2, and large subunit ribosomal RNA
Rfam family: 5.8S ribosomal RNA (bases 1-120)
Source: RNAcentral
GAUGAAGAACGUAGCAAAAUGCGAUAAGUAAUGUGAAUUGCAGAAUUCAGUGAAUCAUCGAAUCUUUGAACGCACAUUGCGCCCGCUGGUAUUCCGGCGGGCAUGCCUGUUCGAGCGUCAUUUCAACCCUCAAGCCCCCGGGUUUGGUGUUGGGGAUCGGCUCUGCCCUUCUGGGCGGUGCCGCCCCCGAAAUACAUUGGCGGUCUCGCUGCAGCCUCCAUUGCGUAGUAGCUAACACCUCGCAACUGGAACGCGGCGCGGCCAUGCCGUAAAACCCCAACUUCUGAAUGUUGACCUCGGAUCAGGUAGGAAUACCCGCUGAACUUAAGCAUAUCCAAUAAGCGGAGGA